AUCCUAGUCUAUAUGAUGUCAUACACCAAUUUACUGGGAUCUCUAUUGUUAAAAUUUGAGCAGCUUUUUCUGGAGCUUUGUCUGAGGAUCUCAUCAAGGAGGGGGAGGUGUUGAUAUCUAGUCCAUGAUGCUAAGAUAUGAGGUACUAAUUGCUAGACACGUAGUCAAAUUCUUGUUACAACAAGACUGCAUCUAGAGUGCAAUAAUGAUGGCC
RNAcentral lists this long non-coding RNA (214 nucleotides) under Elaeis guineensis (African oil palm). RNAcentral's name for it is "long non-coding RNA (EGUI_LNC006880)". Lineage: Eukaryota; Viridiplantae; Streptophyta; Magnoliopsida; Arecales; Arecaceae. The record is from RNAcentral.